RNAcentral lists this ribosomal RNA (449 nucleotides) under uncultured bacterium. Its description in RNAcentral is "partial 16S ribosomal RNA". It matches the Rfam family "Bacterial small subunit ribosomal RNA", at positions 338 to 795 of the family's 1533-position model. The record is from RNAcentral.
CCUACGGGGGGCAGCAGUGGGGAAUUUUGGACAAUGGGGGCAACCCUGAUCCAGCCAUUCCGCGUGAGUGAAGAAGGCCUUCGGGUUGUAAAGCUCUUUCGCAAGGGAAGAAAACUUACUCAAUAACACUGGGUGAGGCUGACGGUACCUUGAUAAGAAGCACCGGCUAACUACGUGCCAGCAGCCGCGGUAAUACGUAGGGUGCGAGUGUGAGUCGAAAUUGCUGGGCGGGAUGUGUGCGCAGGAGGUGAAGUCCCCGGGCUCAACCUGGGAACUGCGUUUGAAACUACAAGGCUAGAGUAUGGCAGAGGGGGGUAGAAGUCCACGUGUAGCAGUGAAAUGCGUAGAGAUGUGGAGGAAUACCAAUGGCGAAGGCAGCCCCCUGGGUCAAUACUGACGCUCAUGCACGAAAGCGUGGGGAGCAAACAGGAUUAGAUACCCCAGUAGUC